RNAcentral lists this ribosomal RNA (549 nucleotides) under Rimicaris hybisae. RNAcentral describes it as "partial 16S ribosomal RNA". It matches the Rfam family "Bacterial large subunit ribosomal RNA", at positions 1796 to 2614 of the family's 2925-position model. The record is from RNAcentral. Lineage: Eukaryota; Metazoa; Arthropoda; Malacostraca; Decapoda; Alvinocarididae.
UCGCCCUGUUUUACAAAAACAUGUCUGUACGGAGGAAGUGUAGAGUCUGGCCUGCCCACUGAAAGUUUUUAAAGGGCCGCGGUAAUUUGACCGUGCGAAGGUAGCAUAAUCAAUAGUCUCUUAAUUGGAGGCUGGAAUGAAUGGUCGUACAAAAAAUAGCCUGUCUUGGCUGUAGAGAUAGAAUUUUACUUUUGAGUGAAAAGGCUCAAAUAUAUUAAAGGGACGAUAAGACCCUAUAAAACUUUAUAUAAAAGAAUUAAUUUUUGAAUUUAGUGUUAAAGUGGAUUAGUUUUUAUUUAUUAUGUUGGGGCGACAAGAAUAUAAAAUAAGUAACUGUUUAAUAAUUUAAAUAAAUAUAUUUAGAGGAGUGAUCCUUUUUUAGGGAUUAGAAGAAAAAGUUACUUUAGGGAUAACAGCGUAAUUUUUUCUGAGAGUUCUUAUCGACGAAAGUAGUUGCGACCUCGAUGUUGAAUUAAGAUUUCCUUAAGGUGUAGAAGUUUUAAUGGUAGGUCUGUUCGACCUUUAAAAUCUUACAUGAUCUGAGUUCAU